Long non-coding RNA from Lonchura striata (white-rumped munia), 1227 nucleotides. The record is from Ensembl. NCBI's taxonomy places the organism in Eukaryota, Metazoa, Chordata, Aves, Passeriformes, Estrildidae.
CGCCGCCGAGGCCGGGCCUGGGCCCACGUCCUGCGCAGGGGCUGCGGGAGCCCGGCCGUGCCCCGCGGCAAGGUGCAGCCGCUGGGCGGGCACCGGUGGCCGGACGGCGGGGCGGUCAGCAGCUUCUUCCAAGUCAGAGCAGCCGUGCCUUCGGAGGGCCCAGCCUGCCAUGGGCGCUCCGGGCAGGGCGAGGACAGGCAGUGCUGGGCUCGGAAGGACUCUGCAAAGGAGCUGAUCUGCCCCUGGGAGACCCCCACAGAGGAGGGGAGAGCGGGGUAACCCCGGCAUGCACACUCCUGCCAGGCCUGAGAUGCAGUGUUUGCCAUGCAUGGCUCAGCACAUGUUGGAAAAGUGUGUUAGAGCCAUCCUCCAGCACCAGGGACACCCAGACCACCACGGCUCCCGAUAGCAGCCCCUGGUGCGCCCAGCUGUUUGUCAUCCAAGAGCUCCAAGCCUUUCUGGACUGGUUUCCUUUCCUGUCUUUGGUGUGUUCGGUCCUGCUCAUGACAGACUUGUCGAUAAACGAGCCUGGUUUCAUGCCUUGGAGCAGAUGGAGGACGUGUGGGUGAUGUCCUGGGAAACGGUGUCUUAUCGGAGUUUCUGGCUUGGCCAUGAGGUGUCAGCACACUGAACACAGCCCAGCUGGAGCAGGACUGGCAGAGCAGGACUCAGGCUUCAGUGCCAAAACUAGGGCGUGCUUGUGUCCCCAGCCCGGGCCCACCUCCUAAUAAUUACAAUUUCUUAAUUUGAAAGCAUGCUGAUUAAGAGACUGGGGAAAAUGGAGUGCCCCUCAUGAGAUGCUGUGUGCUGGGUGGCAAAGCAUCAUUCCUUCAUCCAAACCAGACAUGAUCCCAGAGGCAUCAAGGAGUGCAGAGCCCUCCUGCAUUAGCUCCAGCUUCCCAGUGCAUGGGUUUGAAACCAUGGCCCGACCUGGGAACACCUGGGAGAUCCCAGCCAAGUCCCUGUUGGUGUUUUGGGCCCCUCCAAACUGGGAUUGAUGUGUUGCCACAGGCUGUGCUGAUAUUGACUUGGACUGUUGCCUUCCUUGUGUCAGUGUUUGAAGGUGGUUGUUUUAUUCUCUGGACAAGUUUCCUCGGCGUGUGUGCGUGUGCCGUGGGUCCCUGUUCUGUACCUUGGCCAUGACCUGUGACUUCUGAUGUUGCUGUUCUGUACUUUCUGAUUAUAAAUGGAGUUUUUUCUGUGUGGCUGAUGUGGUUCCACAGGCUC